UACGGGAGGCAGCAGUGGGGAAUAUUGCACAAUGGGCGCAAGCCUGAUGCAGCCAUGCCGCGUGUAUGAAAAAGGCCUUCGGGUUGUAAAGUACUUUCAGUCGUGAGGAAGGUGUUAAGGUUAAUAACCUUAGCAAUUGACGUUAGCGACAGAAGAAGCACCGGCUAACUCCGUGCCAGCAGCCGCGGUAAUACGGAGGGUGCGAGCGUUAAUCGGAAUUACUGGGCGUAAAGGGCACGCAGGCGGUUAAUUAAGUUGGAUGUGAAAUCCCCGGGCUUAACCUGGGAAUGGCAUUCAAGACUGGUUAGCUAGAGUCUUGUAGAGGGGGUAGAAUUCCAUGUGUAGCGGUGAAAUGCGUAGAGAUGUGGAGGAAUACCGGUGGCGAAGGCGGGCCCCUGGGACAAAGGACUGACGCUCAUGUGCGAAAGCGUGGGGAGCAAACAGGGAUUAGAUACC
RNAcentral lists this ribosomal RNA (456 nucleotides) under uncultured bacterium. RNAcentral's name for it is "bacterial SSU rRNA". It matches the Rfam family "Bacterial small subunit ribosomal RNA", at positions 340 to 786 of the family's 1533-position model. The record is from RNAcentral.